AUCCCAUGGUGAGGGCAUUUGCGCAACAAUUCCUUAAACCUCUCUCAUGCCUCAUACAAAGAUUUCCCCUUAUGUUGUUGAAAUCUGGUGAUGUCAUUUCUAAACUU
RNAcentral lists this small nucleolar RNA (107 nucleotides) under Morus notabilis. Its description in RNAcentral is "Plant small nucleolar RNA R71". It matches the Rfam family "Plant small nucleolar RNA R71". Rfam says of the family: R71 is a member of the C/D box family of snoRNAs containing the C (UGAUGA) and D (CUGA) box motifs. Lineage: Eukaryota; Viridiplantae; Streptophyta; Magnoliopsida; Rosales; Moraceae. The record is from Rfam by way of RNAcentral.